GGGCGUUGAAGGGAGGAAGUGGGGGAUAGGAGUGGAUAACUGCAAGGAGACGAUUAUUCAAUGUAUCUACGGUCAUGCCCAUAAAGCUGGUGUUUGGAGGGAGGGAAGGGUCGAAGAUGAGGGUUUGGACAACGCCUGCAGCGGAUACGGAGUGGAUAGUGCGGUGGCGGAGGGCGCCAACAAUGAAGUGUUGAGCCAAUGGGUCAUAGGCAAGGCCCUCGGGAUAGAGAUUUGGCGACUGAAAAUUGAUGAUGUGAGGCUUUCCUGUGGUUGAAGAGGUGAUGCUGAUGACGAUGAUACCCAAAAAAAGGAAAGAGAUAAAAGACAUGGUUUUUGCAAUCUCUGGUGAGUAACAUGUAGCUACAGGGUGGUGGUUGCAUUUAAUUUCUAGCUUGGGUAGUGGCUUUAAUAUUGUGCUUGUUUUCUUGUCAAAGGGGUUUGUUUUGGACUUUUUGGUUAAACUUGGCGUCUGCUGGUUCUCGAUUUGGAAAAUUCAGUUUAUGAGUAAUGAUCAUACACAUAUGAGAAUAGAUUAUAUUACGUGGCAGAAACAUUGUUAAGAAAGGCAGGAGGAAUAGAGGAUCGUUAUAUGCCCAACACAAAUUAAGGCUGUAUUUGAUAUUUUGGAUUCAGU
This 634-nucleotide unclassified non-coding RNA is filed under the name Hevea brasiliensis (rubber tree). The record is from RNAcentral. Lineage: Eukaryota; Viridiplantae; Streptophyta; Magnoliopsida; Malpighiales; Euphorbiaceae.